This 468-nucleotide ribosomal RNA is filed under the name uncultured bacterium. RNAcentral describes it as "partial 16S ribosomal RNA". It matches the Rfam family "Bacterial small subunit ribosomal RNA", at positions 28 to 507 of the family's 1533-position model. The record is from RNAcentral.
GACGAACGCUGGCGGCGUGCUUAACACAUGCAAGUCGAACGGAAAGGCCCUGCUUUUGUGGGGUGCUCGAGUGGCGAACGGGUGAGUAACACGUGAGUAACCUGCCCUUGACUUUGGGAUAACUUCAGGAAACUGGGGCUAAUACCGGAUAGGAGCUCCUGCUGCAUGGUGGGGGUUGGAAAGUUUCGGCGGUUGGGGAUGGACUCGCGGCUUAUCAGCUUGUUGGUGGGGUAGUGGCUUACCAAGGCUUUGACGGGUAGCCGGCCUGAGAGGGUGACCGGCCACAUUGGGACUGUGAUACGGGCCCGACUCCUACGGGAGGCAGCAGUGGGGAAUAUUGCACAAUGGGCGGAAGCCUGAUGCAGCAACGCCGCGUGCGGGAUGACGGCCUUUGGGUUGUAAACCGCUUUCGCCUGUGACGAAGCGUGAGUGACGGUAAUGGGUAAAGAAGCACCGGCUAACUACGUG